AACGAACGCUGGCGGCAGGCCUAACACAUGCAAGUCGAGCGGUAAGGCCCUUUCGGGGGUACACGAGCGGCGAACGGGUGAGUAACACGUGGGUGACCUGCCCUCAGCUCUGGGAUAAGCCUGGGAAACCGGGUCUAAUACUGGAUAUGACUCCAUGACGCAUGUUGUGGGGUGGAAAGCCUUGUGCGGCUGAGGAUGGGCCCGCGGCCUAUCAGCUUGUUGGUGGGGUGANGGCCUACCAAGGCGACGACGGGUAGCCGGCCUGAGAGGGCGACCGGCCACACUGGGACUGAGACACGGGCCCAGACUCCUACGGGAGGCAGCAGUGGGGAAUCUUGCGCAAUGGGCGAAAGCCUGACGCAGCGACGCCGCGUGAGGGAUGACGGCCUGG
Molecule: ribosomal RNA, 391 nt
Filed under: uncultured bacterium
Lineage: Bacteria
Description: bacterial SSU rRNA
Rfam family: Bacterial small subunit ribosomal RNA
Source: RNAcentral